AACGAACGCUGGCGGCAGGCUUAACACAUGCAAGUCGAACGCCCCGCCAGGGGAGUGGCCGCCGGGUGAGUAACGCGUGGGAACAUACCCUUUCCUGCGGAAUAGCUCCGGGAAACUGGAAUUAAUACCGCAUACGCCCUACGGGGGAAAGAUUUAUCGGGGAAGGAUUGGCCCGCGUUGGAUUAGCUAGUUGGUGGGGUAAAGGCCUACCAAGGCGACGAUCCAUAGCUGGUCUGAGAGGAUGAUCAGCCACAUUGGGACUGAGACACGGCCCAAACUCCUACGGGAGGCAGCAGUGGGGAAUAUUGGACAAUGGGCGCAAGCCUGAUCCAGCCAUGCCGCGGGAGUGAUGAAGGCCUUAGGGUUGUAAAGCUCUUUCACCGAUGAAGAUAAGGACGGUAGUCGGAGAAGAAGCCCCGGCGAACUUCGG
Molecule: ribosomal RNA, 430 nt
Filed under: uncultured bacterium
Lineage: Bacteria
Description: partial 16S ribosomal RNA
Rfam family: Bacterial small subunit ribosomal RNA
Source: RNAcentral